Molecule: long non-coding RNA, 325 nt
Filed under: Theobroma cacao (cacao)
Lineage: Eukaryota; Viridiplantae; Streptophyta; Magnoliopsida; Malvales; Malvaceae
Description: long non-coding RNA (TCAC_LNC003462)
Source: RNAcentral
GACUUGUCUUGGAACUUUGAAGCCUUGGUGCACUUGUCUUGGAAUUUUGGAAAACUUGAUUUUUCCGUAGUCUUUCUUUCUGUUGGAUAAUUUCUUGGAUUUUCGGAAGCCUUAUCAAUUCUUUGUAGUUGAUUCUUUUAGAGUCUUCUCCAUUGGACUUGUCUGGAGCUACAUUCAAACCUUGAUCCUGCAGAGUCCUCUCUAUUGGAUCACCUGUCGUGGAAUUUUGAAGCCUUGCUUCUUCAGGGUCCUCUCUAUUGGCCUUCUCUUGGAACUUUAAAGCCUUGUCUUUGGGAACUUUGGAGGCUUAUUCUUCAAAGACUUC